RNAcentral lists this long non-coding RNA (1483 nucleotides) under Equus caballus (horse). RNAcentral describes it as "lncRNA (ENSECAG00000052895.1)". Lineage: Eukaryota; Metazoa; Chordata; Mammalia; Perissodactyla; Equidae. The record is from RNAcentral.
GCCGAGGGCUUCGUCUUCCCAGCAACAGGCGCUCGUGCCUCAGAGGCACGACAGAUUCCUAGGCGCUGCUUGAGUGUGACGUGUUUCCCAACUGCCACUACCCUCUUCAAAGCUGCCUCUUCAAGCCUCAGGAGGACAGUGCUCCUAAACUGGCCUGCACUUUACAUCACAUGGGGAUCUUCUAAAAAUUCCAAGCCCAGAGCAUACCCCAGGCCAAUUAAAUCACAAUUCCCUAGCGGUGGGAAACAGGUAUCAGUAGUUUUGGAAAUUCUCCAGGUGAUUCCAAUGUGCAGAAAAGUUUGGGAACCACUGCCCUAAGGCCUUGCUGCUCAAAGUGUGGACUGUGGACCAGCAGCAUCACUAGAAAUCAGAACCUCUAACUACUUCAAUCAGAGAUCUCUGGGUGAUUUGACACACAUUAAGAUUUGGGAAGCACUGUUUAGAGGCCUGAAUGGAUAUGGGUAUCUUGAUUUAUGAGGACCACGUGUUUAAAGGAUGUCCUUGGAUGAGGAUAACAACGACAGGAUGGAUUGUGUGACCUUCCACCAGGGGUAGAAUCCGUUCAUCUCUCUUCACCUCCGGUGCCACCAUCUCGGUCCAGUCUGCCAUUGUCCCACCUGAUCUCGAGAUGCAUCCUGCCACCAGGCUCAGUCUCUUCAAUCUUCUCCACACGACUGCUGAGGGAUCCUUCUCAGAUGCCAGAGAUUCAGUGAUGUCCCGCAGCCUGUAGGAUAAAGCUCCCCCUCCUUACUAGUGCCCUGGCAAGGCCUCAGAGAAGCCGCGUUAUCUCCAGGCUUCCUUUCUCACCACUUGCAUGCUGUCCAAGCACGGGGAGCUUCCUUCAUCACUCAUGCCUGCCCAUCUCUCACUUCCCUCCGACCUCCCAUACGCUCUUCUCUUGGUUUGCGUCACUCUCCCCUUCUUGCUCCUACUGUCCCUCAAAACUAGCAAAUGUCAACUUAUCUGUUAGGUGGCAGCUUAGGGGUCAGUUCCUCCAGAGAGCUUGCCAGACCGCUCCGGUUGGCCAAGUGGCCCUGCUCCAUACUCUGCCAUCCCCUGGGCUUCCCUCCUCACAGCGCUUACCACAUGUUACUGCCGUUACCACAAUUCUUUAAUUAAUCUUCCCCAGCAGCGUGCAAGCGCUGAGGGCAUGCUCCAUGGAUCUCAUCCACCACCGUAUCCACAGCACCCAGCGCAGUGCCCAGCACAAGGCGGGUGCCAAUAAAUCUUUCUUGACUGAAUCAGUAAAUUUCCCACCACUGCUAUGAAGCCGCAGAAAUAGUAGUGGAAGUUGCUAUGGCAUUUCCCUGGGUCAGACGUUUAUUGGUCCUGAUAACAUUUCACAUAUUAAACGUAAAUUUUUGACUUGAACAAAAGACUUAUUGCUUUCUAGCAUGCCAAUAUGUUUUUAUUUUUAUUUCUCUCGCACCUUUCACAGCUUCCCUGUAUCCUAUGAAUUGGCUUUGAAAUACUGCCUCCCCCC